GGGGGUAUAGCUUAGCGGUAGAGCAUAUGUUCAGGUGUGCAAAGUCCUGGGUUCAAUCCAGUGCCUCUG
This 69-nucleotide transfer RNA is filed under the name Camelus bactrianus (Bactrian camel). It matches the Rfam family "tRNA". Rfam says of the family: Transfer RNA (tRNA) molecules are approximately 80 nucleotides in length. Their secondary structure includes four short double-helical elements and three loops (D, anti-codon, and T loops). RNAcentral also lists the same sequence under 2 other names. The record is from Rfam by way of RNAcentral. Lineage: Eukaryota; Metazoa; Chordata; Mammalia; Artiodactyla; Camelidae.